AUUGAACGCUGGCGGCAUGCUUUACACAUGCAAGUCGAACGGUAACAGGGAGCUUGCUCCGCUGACGAGUGGCGAACGGGUGAGUAAUGCAUCGGAACGUACCCAGUCGUGGGGGAUAACGUAGCGAAAGUUACGCUAAUACCGCAUACGUCCUGAGGGAGAAAGCGGGGGACCGUAAGGCCUCGCGCGAUUGGAGCGGCCGAUGUCGGAUUAGCUAGUUGGUGGGGUAAAGGCCUACCAAGGCGACGAUCCGUAGCGGGUCUGAGAGGAUGAUCCGCCACACUGGGACUGAGACACGGCCCAGACUCCUACGGGAGGCAGCAGUGGGGAAUUUUGGACAAUGGGGGCAACCCUGAUCCAGCCAUGCCGCGUGAGUGAAGAAGGCCUUCGGGUUGUAAAGCUCUUUCAGACGGAAAGAAAACGCAUCGGUGAAUACCCGAUGUGGAUGACGGUACCGUAAGAAGAAGCACCGGCUAACUACGUG
Molecule: ribosomal RNA, 484 nt
Filed under: uncultured bacterium
Lineage: Bacteria
Description: bacterial SSU rRNA
Rfam family: Bacterial small subunit ribosomal RNA
Source: RNAcentral